AAAUAAAAAUUAUUUUUUAAAAAAUAAAGCUAUUAAAUAGAAAGGGUUCAGCCCUCAACAAAACGACGGAUUACCCCAUCUCUCUUCCCUACCUGCACAAAGUAAAGCCUUCUCCAAUAACCUAAUCUGUCCUAUUUUUUAUUUUUUUUUAAGAAAAAACUGAAGUUUCUGCUUGUCUGAAACCAAAAUUUCAUGCUACUUUGGUUUCUGUUUAACCUUUUCUUUUCAGCCCCCUUUUGAAAUCAUUUUUGUGCAGGUAUGGUGGUUGGACUGGGUUUGAUAAAUCCGAAAAGGUAAGUAAUGCUGGGAUCUGGUACUGUACUGAAGUUAUCUCUUAAUGCCUUUAUGUUUUUGCUUUAUGGAGUUUAGUUGAUGAACAUGCGUGUACAGAGACUAAAUUUUAUUCCUAAAUAAUAACACCUUUUUCGCUGCAUGUAUUUGACAUUCUGGUUUUCUUUCCAAUUUCUAUUUUGCUUUAUGGAGUUUAGUCGAUGAACAUGUGUGUACAGAAACUAAAUUCUAUGCCUAUAUAAUAAAUCUUGAUCCAAUCCAAAUUUGCAAAAGUUGGUUUUGGUUUGUGUUUAACACUCUUAAAAGGGCCAUAUGAGAAUUUGCAAAGUGGAAAUGGAGACAAUAUAGAGUGUUUUUUUUUGUCUUUUUCAUUUCUCCUUCCAAGUUUGGUGCUAUUUUCAGGCCCUUACCAUUUGUGUUUAACACUCUUAAAAGGGCCAUAUGAGAAUUUUUCAAAUGACAACCAGUUGUUUUCUCAUUGAGGCCUGUGACAAACUUUGAGGAAAUUUGUUCACACUUCAUACAUUCAAUGUACAUUCCAUUUACAGAACCAAAUUGCAGGCAUUGAUCUGACUGCUGAUAAAUCAAGAAAUAUUAAUAAGAUGUCUAAAGUUGAUGACCAAUAAGCAUCAUGUGCAUAUCCAGUGUUUCCCUGUUGGUUGAUUAUGUGUAUUUUCUCUGGUUGAAGCUGCAAAGUAAUACUUUGAUUCAUGCUCCGAUGGUAGAAUCAUCAGUUCCCUCAUGUGUGGUAUGGAUCAGGCAGACAUAAGACAUCCACAUCAAACCAUGUAUUAGACUAAGUCGACUUACGUUAUUUCAAAUCUUUAAUUUUCUAAACAAGUAAAGGCCUCACUUUUUAAAAUAAUAUCUUUAAAUGAAAUUAUCUUAAUUCAAAAACGUCAAGUGAAAUUAACAGAUAAAGAGAGUUCUGUGAGUGUUAGAGAGUUGAGUUGAGAAGUGGUUAUCUCCUCCUCAUUGUAAUGUGUAUGUUUUCACUUUGUUAAUGAAAGGAACAGCUAUAUGAAUGUAGAUAAAUUGCCGAAUCACGUUAAAUUUUGUUUUUGCUGUGUGCUUUAAUUCUGGGAAACCCCAACAUGUCCUACCCAGUCAUGCUUCCUAAAGCUGUUCUUUUCUUGAGGGAUUUCUUAUUCAAUUUGAAAGUCAUUUUCACCGUGCAACAUGUAACCGUACGGAUAUUAUUUAAUCGAGCAUUUUCAUCUUUAUUCUUAAAUACAAAGGUUUUUAACCUCUUCCUUCCUUCCUUCCUGAAUUCAAUUACUGUUAUUAUUACUCCAUACUCUCCCUAUCUAUUUAUUCUAUCAUCCACAGCCCUCAUCUGAUCAAAUUAUUACUGUUUUUUGAUGUAGGACAUGAAGAAGUUAUUACUGUUAGUUAGUUUAUUUGUUAGAUCUCAGUCCUUUUAGGAUUCUACUUUUAUUUUUAUCUGUCGUUAGUGUUGGAAACAAGUCAAACUUGUUUGAUAUUAGUUUCUCAUUCCUUUUAGGAUUCUGUUUUCUGUUUUCGUUUCUUUAAAAGCACCAAGUCAGGAAGGUUGUAGAUAUUAUUAUUAUUUUUCAUCAAUAAACUUGUUCUUUGAACACAACUAUUCUCUCGUGGAUUCGAGAUUAUUUAGCUUCCGCUACGUCAUUUUUCUUUGAAUAUUCGCAACAUUUUUUCAAUUAAUUGGGAAAACAAUUACCCAAACUCUCUGCCCUAAUCCAUCCUCAAAUUUCUUGUUUCUUCUCUUAUGAUUAUUUUGUUUGAGGAAAAACCCCUUUUACUUCCAUAAUACAAUCUUUCUUUCUUUUAAAAAGAACUCAAAAACGAAAACUAACAGAAGGCGCAUGAUGAUGGUAUUGGAGCUACCUAGAGACUAACAUUGUUUUCAUGUAAUACCAUAUUCUGAUGGAUACUUUGCAUUCAUGUUGUUUUCCAGGCCAUUAUCAAGCCAGAGAUGAAUGUCCGAUAUACAUUGCAAGUGAUGUCAAUGGAGUUCAGAGG
This is a long non-coding RNA of Populus nigra (black poplar), 2292 nucleotides long. RefSeq lists it as uncharacterized. The transcript is spliced from 2 exons. The record is from RefSeq and is a predicted model, not a curated record. Lineage: Eukaryota; Viridiplantae; Streptophyta; Magnoliopsida; Malpighiales; Salicaceae.